AGGAACAAAGGAAGCAGAUGGAAAGCUUGCAGAGCCUGUUGCCUGGCUGCAGAAUGACGUGUGGUCAGCUACAGUGGGAAAGCAGCUGACACGAGAGAAAUCGAAGAGGAAAGGUGGCUGAUGCCAUCUCUGUCAGUGAGCACUAAGGGAACAACACUAAAACAAUCUUGCAGAGUUAUAGAUUGUUCUUGGAAAAAAUGUAGUUGACAUUACUUCAUGCUCUGCCCUAUGGACAGUAGAAUACAUUCUGUGCAGUCAAAGGAGAGGGGGUUGUUCUCAUGCUUCUUUUCCUCCUGCCCAUCUCCAACUGACUUGUCCAAGUGUUGUCUGUCUUCUUGGACCAGUUGAAUCUGUGACCUGCCCAAUUACAGGAAACCAGAAUGCCAAGAGUGUCUGAUGUGCAAUAAGAAAUGAAUUAGACUUCCAACAGUGUGUUUUAACCCAAAUUCAAUACUGGAUUUCUCCACCUUCAGAAGUUUGAAGGCUUUUUGGGAACACAUCAUUGCUCAUGAAGCAUAGAUGUUGUAGGUUAUGCUAACUGAAAUUACAGCUGCUUAAUCUACCCAUUGCAACCUGGGGUGAAAAGCUUAUACUUCACAUAUUCCUUCUGGAAUACAAGCACAUGGGACAUAAUAAGAAUGAACUGAAAAAUCCCCUUCAGAACCAUUUGGGGUCCUCAGAAUUAUUUAAUCUUCCUUUUCACAUGCUCUCCAGGUUGUUUCACAGUCAUGAAAUUUCUAUACUUGAGAUUCUCUGUGGGACUUGAAAUAUUUCCUGCCUAGUUUCAGAACAAAGGCACCAAACUGACAUGGGCUGCGUCAUUUGUGGGAAGAUACUGGCAUGGUUGUGUUCGCACUCACUUAAAAGAUGCAAAUCCACCUUAUGUCACCACAGGCCAAGGAGAAGAAAAUGGGGCCAUGCUGUUGCUUCAGCCUCCGUUUCAGAGUUCUACUUCUGCUGCAUCCCAUGAAUUGUGAUAUGUAAACCUCUGUUGGCCAUAAAUCCCCAGUCUUGACAGACUGAAUGCAGAUCAUGAAAGGAAAAGGGAGGGUAGGAUGCAUUUUAAUGUUUUUAAGCUUUGCUAAGGACAUCUGGCCUGGGGUGAUUUGC
Molecule: long non-coding RNA, 1110 nt
Filed under: Numida meleagris (helmeted guineafowl)
Lineage: Eukaryota; Metazoa; Chordata; Aves; Galliformes; Numididae
Description: lncRNA (ENSNMEG00000009552.1)
Source: RNAcentral